Molecule: ribosomal RNA, 2287 nt
Filed under: bioreactor metagenome
Description: bacterial LSU rRNA
Rfam family: Bacterial large subunit ribosomal RNA
Source: RNAcentral
AUCUCCCGAGUAGGCCGGAGCACGUGGAAUUCCGGUUGAAUCCGGGCCGACCAUGGUCCAAGGCUAAAUACUGAUGGCGACCGAUAGUGGAACAGUACCGAGAGGGAAAGGUGAAAAGCACCCCUGGCGGGGAGUGAAAAAGACCUGAACCCGUGUGCCUACAAUCAAUCGGAGCCGGAAGCGUACGCGAGUGCGUGGAAGGUGACGGUAUGCCUUUUGUAAAAUGAGCCGGCGAGUCAUUUUCAGUAGCGAGGUUAAGGUCCGUCUGGACUGUAGCCGCAGGGAAACCGAGUCUGAAUAGGGCGAAGAGUUUCUGGAAAUGAACCCGAAGCCGCACGAUCUAUCCAUGAGCAGGUUGAAGCCCCGGUGAAACGGGGUGGAGGACCGAACCGGUGCCUGUUGAAAAAGUCUCGGAUGACUUGUGGAUAGGAGUGAAAAGCUAAUCGAGUGCGGUGAUAGCUGGUUCUCCCCGAUAUGCAUUUAGGUGCAGCCUUAUGGAUGACAGAUGGGGGUAGAGCACUGGAUGGACGCGGGGGACUGGGGUCCUGCCAAAUUCAACCAAACUUCGAAUACCAUAAUGUUUGACCAUAGGAGUGAGACUGCGGGAGAGAAGUUUCGUAGUCGUGAGGGAAACAGCCCAGACCGUCAGCUAAGGCCCCAAAGGGUAUGCUAAGUGUGGCAAGGAUGUGGAAAUGCCCAAACAGCCAGGAGGUUGGCUUAGAAGCAGCCAUCCUUUAAAGAGUGCGUAACAGCUCACUGGUCGAGGAUUUCCGCGCCGAAAAUACAGGGGGCUAAGCAUACCGCCGAAGCUGCGGGAUUUGUACUUAUGGUAUGGAUCGGUAGGGGAGCGUUCCAUGGUGGGAGAAGUCGUACUGUGAGGUGCGGUGGACGCCAUGGAAGUGAGAAUGCCGGCAUGAGUAGCGCAAAGUAUGUGAGAAACAUACUCACCGGAAGCCCAAGGGUUCCUGGGGAAGGCUAAUCCACCCAGGGUAAGGCGGGACCUAAGGCGAGGCCGAAAGGCGUAGUCGAUGGACAGCAGGCUGAUAUUCCUGCCCCGCAGAGGAGCCGUUUGACUGAAGCAGUGACGCAGGAAGCUAGGUGGACCCGGGUGAUGGAAGUCCCGGGCCAAGGGAGUAGGCGUGCUUUGCAGGGAAAACCGCAGAGCUGAGCCGAGACCUGACGGGGAGGUUCCGUAAUGGGACUGAAGCCAUUGACGCUCGACUGCCGGGAAAAGCUGCUAGGGAGGCUUUUUUGCGCCCGUACCCGAAACCGACACAGGUGGGCUGGCUGAACAGGCUAAGGUGAGCGGGAUAACUCUCGUUAAGGAACUCUGCAAGUUGACCCCGUAACUUCGGGAGAAGGGGUGCCGCUCUGGUGAAGACAAUGCUGUUGGAGCUGAGAGCGGUCGCAGAAACCAGGCUCAGGCGACUGUUUACUAAAAACACAGGUCUCUGCAUAAGGCGCAAGCCGAAGUAUAGGGACUGACACCUGCCCGGUGCUGGAAGGUUAAAUGGAGAGGUUAGUGCAGUGAUGUGCGAAGCUUUGAAAUGAAGCCCCAGUAAACGGCGGCCGUAACUAUAACGGUCCUAAGGUAGCGAAAUUCCUUGUCGGGUAAGUUCCGACCUGCACGAAUGGUGUAACGAUCUGAGCGCUGUCUCGACGGGAGACCCGGUGAAAUUGUGGUCCUGGUAAAGACACCAGGUACCUGUGGUGGGACGGAAAGACCCCAUGGAGCUUUACUGUAGCCUGGUACUGGAUUUUGUCCUAUCAUGCACAGGAUAGGUGGGAGGCAUUGAAGCAUGUGCUUUGGCAUAUGCGGAGCCGACGUUGGGAUACCACCCUUGAUAUGAUGGAAUUCUAACCCCGAACGUCUGAAUCGGCGGGGGGGACACUGCCAGGUGGGCAGUUUGACUGGGGCGGUCGCCUCCCAAAGAGUAACGGAGGCGCGCGAAGGUCACCUCAGGGCGAAUGGAAACCGCCCAUAGAGAGCGCAAGCGUAUAAGGUGGCCUGACUGAGAGACCGACGGGUCGAUCAGGGACGAAAGUCGGUGCUAGUGAUCCGGCGGUUCCGAAUGGAAGGGCCGUCGCUCAACGGAUAAAAGCUACCCUGGGGAUAACAGGCUGAUCUUGCCCGAGAGUUCCUAUCGACGGCAAGGUUUGGCACCUCGAUGUCGGCUCGUCGCAUCCUGGGGCUGAAGCAGGUCCCAAGGGUUGGUCUGUUCGCCCAUUAAAGCGGUACGUGAGCUGGGUUUAGAACGUCGUGAGACAGUUCGGUCCCUAUCCACCA